UAUUUUUUUCGUUAUCUUUUGGACUCAAAUAUGUGACAAGAGUAAGACUCUAUAAACGACAGCUAUUUUAUCGUGGUGCGCCAUCAAAUAAUGUGUCCUAUCAUUUCUAAGUUGAGCCACGAAGGUCAACGUUUCCGAUGCAUACCACCAAAACUCCUCCCUCGUGGUGCACCAUCAAAUAAUCGUCAAUCCACUCGUUAAUAUGUGUGAUGAUACGCUUAUCAGCGAUAUCAGUAGAUGUUGAAUCAACUCUUCAGGUUUCAAUGAUAUCGAUAGUAUACUUAGCUAGUUUCUCCCCCAUGAAAUCGAUAGAGCUUCCUCCCAAGGUAUUCAAGAUCUUAUUGGCUUCUACAUAUGAAGCAAUCAUUACUCAUGUAGCAAACUUGUUAAUCUUCUAUAUUUUCAUUACAUAUAAUAUUUUACGUACAAGUAAGUCAAAUGACAUGACAUGACAUAUGAUAUAACUGAGUAAGUAAGAAAUUACGUAUAACAAUUAAGUCAAAUGACAUAGUAACCAUUCGUGAUUGUUGUCUCAUAUUU
This 540-nucleotide small RNA is filed under the name Arabidopsis thaliana (thale cress). Its description in RNAcentral is "ATSL067620". Lineage: Eukaryota; Viridiplantae; Streptophyta; Magnoliopsida; Brassicales; Brassicaceae. The record is from RNAcentral.